GCCUUUCCAAUCCAUCCAGCAGAGAAACAAUAUCUUUGAGAGUUACUUUUCAGUAGAAAGUCUUUCACCUCCUUUGCUUUUGUGUGAGAAAAAUGGCUUACUCCAAGACUUUCCUUCUCAUUGGCCUUCUCUUUGCUGUUGUUCUCAUCCUGUCCUCUGAGGUUUCAGCUCGGGAUCUAGCUGAAACAUCCCAAACUCGUAAGUUAAAUUUCUUUUAGUAGAUGUAAAUUAAUGGCAUGUUAUGUGUUCAUAUAGAGAUGCUUUAUUAACUUAUUUAAAGUAAUAAAUUUCGUUUUCUUAAAUUAUGGCAGAAGUGAGCGUGGAGGAUGCGAAGUACGGUGGGUAUGGACACGGGUACGGCCACGGAAAAGGACAUGGGUACCAAAAAGGACAUGGGCAUGGGCAUGGGAAACCUGGUCAUGGGGGACCUGGCCAUCCACCUGGUCAUGGUGGUGCUGGUGAGGAUGUGGAAGAGGGGACGCAGAAUUAGUGUAAUCAAUCCUUAAUUAUGUGGGCUACGCAUGAUUAGGGUGUGUUUUAUGUAAGUUUAUGAAAGCGUGUGUAUCAAUAAGGCAUGUGGGCUUAGGGUUACUCUCUAAGACCAGCAUGGCUGUGUUGUAGCUUCUAUGCUUAAUAUAAUGCUUUUUCAUGUGCUGUGCUAAAAUGGAGUAUGAUGAAUGCCGUCGGGUGAUCUACCCUUUUUUUUUUUCUUGGGAUUAUAUUAUUUACUUCGGAGUAAUUUUGUUGAGAUAUGAUUUUGUGUAAAUAUACUUACCAUCAUUGGUUUCAAAUUAUAUUAGUUUAUACCCUCACCAACAUACCCACCUCAAAUCUUUACCUAAAAUUGAUCUAAAAACCUAAAAUUUAUCUAAAAAGUAAAUUGUGAACAUGCGAAAUUUAAAACCAGCAACAACUUAGGCUAUGUUUGGUUUUCGAAAAAUUUGAGGAAAAUGUAAAGGAAAGAAAAUAGAGAGGAAAAGUAAAAGGAAAGAAAAGGAAAAUAAAAAAUAGAGUUAAAGAUAAUAAAUCAUUUUUAUUUGUUACUUUAAAUUUAUAUUAUUUAUUUUAAUUUAUCAAUAUAAAAAUUAAAUAAUUUUAAAAUAUAUAAGUUUUUAAUUAAUUUUAAUUAUAUUUAAUUUUCUUUGUAAUAUUUUAUAGGAUAAUUAAAUAUGAGAAAAUCAUUUUUUAUCAUUUUUUUUUUCUUUUGUACUUUUCGGGAACCAAACAUAACUUUAGUGUAUUUACACUCAACCUUAAAAGUAUAAAUGAGAUUAAUUUUUAUUUGGAAUUAUUGGAAUUUGGAUUUGAAAAGAAAGAAAUUUUUUUUUUGAAUUGAGAAAAAAAUGAAGGUAAAAAGUAUAAUAACCAAUUAUAUAGUUAUAAAAAGAAUUUGCAUGGUAAAGCCUUUUAUUGAGAGGUCUUAGUUUUCUUUGAGAUAUUUUAAGUUGAAGAUUAUUGCAGUCAAUCCUAUUUUGUGGGUUAUUUAUAUAAAUUCAUUGAAAUUGUAGCUCGGGAGUAAAUGAAAUACAAAUAGGAUAUGCAUUCUCAGUCCUCUAUUUAAGAAACCAAAUGUAGUAUAAAAAAAAAUACUUAUGCAAUUUAAUAUAACAAUAAUACUUCCUAUCCAACACUUAGUCCAAGAGUUACUUAUAUUCCCAUUUUUAUAAGUAUACCAAAUAUAAUUAUUGUUGGUGCACAAUGAAUGAUUACUCGAUUUGGGUAGUUUUUUCCACUGGAUUGGAUGAUUUUGUAAAAAACGAGUCGUUGGAUGGUUGUUUUGGGCAUCCUUCUUCAAUGGUUAAGUUAGUUUGAGAAUUUUUAAGGCAAAUAUUUUGUAUGGGUUUAGAGUGUAUAUCUUUAUUUAUUUUUAACGUUCGAUGUUCUUUUAUAAUAGAGGCAUCUUAUAAUGGUGUUUAUAUUUUAUGAUUAUUAUUUAUUGUAGUUUUAGUGCAUGUUAGAGCAUAACGAUUUAGUCAUUGGAAAUGAUUGAUUAUUUAUAUUAUGAAAUAAUUACCUUUGAAAUGACACAUAAUGAUUGUAUUUAUAUUUUUACCAUUGGAAAAAUAAUUAUUGACUCUAAUUUGGUUCUAUGUUAGUCGGGCGAUACAAGUUGUAUCUAAAUCAUUAAAUGAUGAGAUUUUGAUUAUUGAAUGUGAAUAGAAAUGGAGGUGAUAAAAAUUUAAAGGCAUAAAUAAAUGGAAUUAAUGUAUAUAAAAAAAAAAGAUUUGAAAAUGGUUUAAGUGUUGGCAUGCGAGGGUGUCCUUUGUUAUCUAAGAUCGAUUUGAAGAGAAUUGAGAGGUCGGUGGACAUGAGGACAGAUAUGAGAAUGACGUGAGAUGGGACGUAAUCAUUCAAGAGAUAUCAUGUGAGUAGAAAUUAGAAUGUAGUGAACUUUGCCCAUGCAUAUGGAGUUGAAUUUUAAGCUCAAAUCCAACACCUGUCACCCAUGUGGCACUCUCAAUUGACAUAAUAGUGUUGUGUUUUGGACUUGGUGACGUGUGGAGGGACGUACGUAUACAUGAAUGGGCUGUUUCAGGGACUUUUCUCAAUAGUAUAGUAAUUUAAAAAAGUUAUGCUUAAAUUAUUAUAGUAGAAGAAGUUAUUACAAAUAUAUGGUAGUUUUUGCCACAUAGGAGAAAGGAGAGAGGAGAUAGGAGAGAGGGUGAACGGAUAAUUUUUUUUAAAAAAGGGAACUCGUCUCUUGAAGAGACGAGUUCCAUGAAAAAAAAAUAUAUAUUUUUUAAAAAAAAUUCCUAUUUACUCAAGGGAACUCGUCUCUUGACGAGUUCCAUGAAAAAAGACAAGGGAAAGACGAGUUCCUAGGGAAAAAAAAAUAUUUUUUUUAAAAUAUAUUUUUUAUUUAAAAAAAAUCCUAAAUUAAAUUAUAAAAAAAAUUUCCUAAAGGGAACUCGUCUCUUCAAGAGACAAGUUCCCAUGUAAAAAAAUUUUUUUUUUUUUUAAAAUAUAUAUAUUUAAAAAAAAAAAAUUUCCUUUUUUUUUAAUUUGGGAUUUUUUUAAAAUAAAAAAUAUAUUUAAAAAAAAAAUAUUUUUUUCCCAUGGGAACUCGUCUCUUCAAGAGACGAGUUCCCUUUAGCAAUUUUGAGAAAUUGUUUUUUUUUUUUUAAUAUAUAUAUAUUUAAAAAAAAUAUUUUUUUUACAUGGGAACUCGUCUCUUGAAGAGACGAGUUCCCUUUGGAAUUGUUUUUUUUUUUUUUUUUUAUUUGGGAUUUUUUUUUAAAAAAAAUAUUUUUUUUACAUGGGAACUCGUCUCUUGAAGAGACGAGUUCCCUUUGGAAUUGUUUUUUUUUUUUUUUUUUUUAUUUGGGAUUUUUUUUUUUUAAAAAAUAUUUUUUUCCUAUGGGAACUCGUCUCUUGAAGAGACGAGUUCCCUUUAGGANNNNNNNNNNNNNNNNNNNNNNNNNNNNNNNNNNNNNNNNNNNNNNNNNNNNNNNNNNNNNNNNNNNNNNNNNNNNNNNNNNNNNNNNNNNUUUUAUUUAUUUAAAAAUAUAUAUUUUUUUUUACAAGGGAACUUGUCUCUUCAAGAGACGAGUUCCCUUUAGCAAUUUUGAGAAAUUGUUUUUUUUUUUUUUUUAAUAUAUAUAUAUUUAAAAAAAAAUAUUUUUUUUACAUGAAGAGACGAGUUCCCUUUGGAAUUGUUUUUUUUUUUUUAUUUUUUUAUUUUUUUAUUUGGGAUUUUUUUUAAAUAAAAAAUAUAUUUUAAAAAAAAAUAUUUUUUUUCCCAUGGGAACUCGUCUCUUGAGUUUCCUUUAGGAAUUUUUUUUUUUUAAAAUAUAUAUAUAUUUUUAAAAAAAAUAUUAUUUUUACAUGGGAACUCCCUUUAGGAAUUUUGAGGAAUUGUUUUUUUUUUUUUUUAAUAUAUAUAUUUUAAAAAAAAAAUAUUUUUUUUUACAUGGGAACUCGUCUCUUGAAGAGACGAGUUCCCUUUGGAAUUGUUUUUAUUUUUUUAUUUUUUUUAUUUUUAUUUUUAUUUUUAAUUUGGGAUUUUUUUAAAUAAAAAAUAUAUUUAAAAAAAAAAAAUUUCCCAAGGGAACUCAGGAAAUUUUUAUUUUUUUUAAAUAUAUAUAUUUUUAAAAAAAAUAUUUUUUUUUUACAUGGGAACUCAUCUCUUCAAGAGACGAGUUCCUUUGAGGAAUUGUUUUUUUUUUUUUUUUUUAAUAUAUACAUUUAAAAAAAAAAAUAUUUUUUUUUUACAUGGGAACUCGUCUCUUCAAGAGACGAGUUCCCUUUGGAAUUGUUUUUUUUUUUUUUUUUAAUUUUUUAAUUUGGGAUUUUUUAAAUAAAAAAUAUAUUUUAAAGAAGAGACGAGUUCCUUUAGGAUUUUUUUUAAAUAAAAAAUAUAUUUAAAAAUUUUUUUUUUUCCCAUGGGAACUCGUCUCUUGAGUUCCCUUAGGAAAUUUUUUUUUUUAAAUAUAUAUAUUUAAAAAAAAAAAAUAUUUUUAAAAAAAAAAAAUUUUUUUUUACAUGGGAACUCGUCUCUUCAAGAGACGAGUUCCCUUUAGGAAUUUUGAGGAAUUGUUUUUUUUUUUUUUAAUAUAUAUAUUUUAAUUAGGAAUUUUUUUUUUAAAUAUAUAUAUUUUUUUAAAAAAAAUAUUUUUUUUUACAUGGGAACUCGUCUCUUGAAGAGACGAGUUCCCUUUGGAAUUGUUUUUUUUUUAUUUUUUUUUUAUUUUUUAUUUUUUUAUUUGGGAUUUUUUUAAAUAAAAAAUAUAUUUAAAAAAAAAAAUAUUUUUUUUCCCAAAGGGAACUCGUCUCUUCAAGAGACGAGUUCCCUUUGGAAUUGUUUUUUUUUUUUUUUUAUUUUUUAUUUUUUAUUUUUUAUUUGGGAUUUUUUUAAAUAAAAAAUAUAUUUAAAAAAAAAAAUAUUUUUUUCCCAAAGGGAACUCGUCUCUUCAAGAGACGAGUUCCCUUUGGAAUUGUUUUUUUUUUUUUUUUUUUUUAAAUUUGGGAUUUUUUUAAAUAAAAAAUAUAUUUUAAAAAAAAAAUAUUUUUUUUCCCAUGGGAACUCGUCUGAAGUAGGAAUUUUUUUUUAAAUAUAUAUAUUUUAAAAAAAAAUAUUUUUUUUUACAUGGGAACUCGUCUUUUUUUUUUUUUUUUUUUUUAAUUUAGGAUUUUUUUUAAAUAAAAAAUAUAUUUUAAAAAAAAUAUAUUUUUUUUCCCAUGGGAACUCAUCUCUUGAAGAGACGAGUUCCCUUUAGGAAUUUUUUUUUUAUGGGAUUAUUUUUAAAUAAAAAAUAUAUUUAAAAAAAAUAUAUAUUUUUUUUUCCCAGGGGAACUCGUCUCUUCAAGAGACGAGUUCCCUUUAGUUCCAAAUUGUUUUUUUUUUUUUUUUUAAUUUGGGAAUUUUUUAAAAAUAAAAAUAUUUUUUUAAAUGGAAACCCGCCCCUUGGAGAAAAGAGUUUCCUUGAAAAAUGGUUUUUUUUUUUUUUUUUAAUUUGAAAAUUUUUUAACAAUAAAUUAUAUAAUUUUUUCCAGGGAACCCCCCUCCUGAAAAGACAAGCUCCCCAAAGAAAAGGGGAAUUUUCUUAAAAAANNNNNNNNNNNNNNNNNNNNNNNNNNNNNNNNNNNNNNNNNNNNNNNNNNNNNNNNNNNNNNNNNNNNNNNNNNNNNNNNNNNNNNNNNNNNNNNNNNNNUUUUUUUCCCAUGGGGAACUCAUCUCUUGAAGAGACGAGUUCCCUUUAGGAAUUUUUUUUUUAUGGGAUUAUUUUUAAAUAAAAAAUAUAUUUAAAAAAAAUAUAUAUUUUUUUUCCCAUGGGAACUCGUCUCUUCAAGAGACGAGUUCCCUUUAGUUCCAAAUUGUUUUUUUUUUUUUUUUUAAUUUGUGAAUUUUUUAAAAAUAUAUAUAUUUUUUUUAAUGGGAACUCGUCUCUUGAAGAGACGAGUUUCCUUGAAGAAUUGUCUUUUUUUUUUUUUUUAAUUUGAGAAUUUUUUUACAAAUAUAUAUAUAUAUUUUUUCAUGGAACUCGUCUCCUGAAGAGACGAGUUCCCUUAAGUAAAUGGGAAAUUUUCUUAAAAAAAUAUAUAUAUUUUUUUUCAUGGAACUCGUCUCUUCAAGAGACGAGUUCCCUUUUUAAAAAAAAUUUAUCGAUUCACCCUUUCUCCUAUCUCCUCUCUCCUCUCUCUCACCUUCUCUCCUAUCUCCUUUCUCCUCUCUCCUAUGUGGCAAAAACUACCAUAUAUUUGUAAUAACUUCUUCUACUACAAUAAUUUAAGCAUAACUUUUUUAAAUUACUAUAUUAUUGAGAAAAGUCCCUGUUUCCAGUUUCCAACUAUGUCAUUAAAGGAAGGUUCAUGAUUUUUUUGGAACUUUAAAAUGAUAUGACAAACACAGCGUAGCAUUUUUCUUAAAAGGAAAUCCAUAUAAAACAAUUUAUAUUUCUAAUUACCAAAUUCUUCGUACCAAUAUUUAGAGUGUUUGAUAAUAAUUAUAAAAAAUAUUUAUACUUUUUUUAACACCAAAAUUUUUUUAUCUUUCACAUAUAAAAAAGUUAAAAAUACUUUCUAAAACUUUAAUACAUUCAUUUUCAUUUGAAGUGGGUAAUCGAGGCAAUGUUUGUCUUUUUCUUUUUGAAUUGUUGCUAUCUUUGAGUUAAUCCUUUGGAGCCUCAUUCUACAGUAUGAAGAGAAGAACAAGUAAAAGUGGUCCUCCAUCAGUAAGUUAUUAACAAUUACCCAAUGGCAAGGUGGGAAAUUUGAUAGGAUAAAAAAAAAAAUCCUUAAAUGGACAUUUCAUUCAUUUGAAUAACAUGGAAAUGAAAUCCCAUGAGUGAAAUUUUAAUUCUUCCUAAUUAGGGGUAUUUUAAUUCCAUAGUAUAACUUAUUUUUAAAAUUACUUUUCAAAAAUUAAAAAAUUAAAGACCUUUUUAGAUAAGUUAUUUUUAAAAUUAAUUUUUAUUUUGAUUUUGUAAAACAUACAAAUUUUAGAUUCAAUUUAUAUAAUAUAAAUUAAGGGUGCUUUUGACAAUGACUCUAGGAAGCCUUUUUUUUUUAAUCCUAAAAUGUGUUUUUGAAAAAAAAAUAAUUAGGUGUUUGACAAAUUUUAGGAAACACUUUUAAAAAUUUGAAGAGUGUGUUUGACAUUGAUUUUAUAAAAUAAUUUUUUUUUUUACAUUUUUAAUACUUGAAAAAUAAAAUUUUUAUAGUGUUAGAAAAAUUAAAAGUGCCUCUUAGAAUCACUACCAAAUGGGGUCGAAAAAUUACUUAUAAUGUUUUUUUAGACAAACACUUGAUAGAUGAUUAUCCUAAAAACACUUUUAAAGAAAAUACUUUCACUAAAAACAUUUCUGAGUAGUAACAUUAAUUGAUUUAUUUUGUUAAAAAUAAAUAAUAAUAAUUUCCAAUACUAUUUAUAUGAUUUUAUAAAUAUUAUAAAAAUAUGGAUAUUAACAUAUUAUAAAAGCAUAAUUAAUUUAUUUUGUUAAAAAUAAAGAAUAAUUAUUCAAAAUUAAUAAUUGCUAAUACUAUUCUAUUUUAAAUAAAUAUAAAAACAAACAAAAUUUAAAAUUUUAAGUUAUAAAUGAGCUAAAAUUUUCAAUAUGUAUGCAUUUAUUACUUAAUUAUGAAGAUGACAUUGUGAAUUAUUUUAUUUGAUCUAUAAUUAAUUAAUUAAUUAUUUAAAUUUUGAAUUAUUCUUAAAAAAUUAUAUAUAUGUUUUAAAUUCUUUAAUAAAUCUUAUCAUUUUUAAAAGCAAAGUAAAAUAAAGAAUUGUUCAAUACAAAGUCUUGUUUAAUUUGAAAUUCAUUGUUAGGAAAGAAAAAAAAAUUCAGAAGAACAGUUCUCUAUUUUACUUUGCUUUUAAAAAUUGUGUUUAAAGAACAACAACCAUAUAGUGAUAUAAAUUUUUAAAAACAAUUUUGUUUUUAAAUCACACGACCAAAUAGGAUUUUAUUACCGGGACCCCAGAUCUUUCUGUUCUCAUACCUUGGAUCGUAUAGGUGCAUGUAAACUACUCUAUGCCUUUAGAUCUUAUGUAAUGGAAGCAAAAAAUAAAAUUUUAAUAUUCUAAGAUAUAAAGAAAAGUCAUUAGAAAACUUUACCUUUAAUUUAAACGUUUUCAAAUCAAUUUCGCUCAAUGAAGUUGAAGCUUGAACAGUUCGAAGGUCUCGUACACCCAAGAUUUUCCUCUCAAUGACUCGAAUUACGAUCUUAACACUCCAAAGUGUAGGCUUUGGGAGGGAGGAAUCCUAGGCUCUUUAUCUUUAGAGGUAGAAGACGACUAUCUUUCAAAGUGAUGAAAACCCUAACUCCUAGGGGGUAUUUAUAGAGUUUCCUUAUUAGGCUUAAGUGACUUGAGCCUACCAAGGCUUAAGUGACUUGAGCCUACCAAAGCUUAAGUCAUUUAAUUUAGUCUAAAAUGGGUCCUAAUUAAUUAAUUAACUAUAUAUGUCUAUUUAAUUAAUUAAUUCGCACAUUUUAAAGAACUUGUUUGCUAUUCCCUAUGCAACCUUGCAUAAUUAUCAAAAUGCUCUUAUGCACAAAAGUGAAUUGAGAGUCAAUCCAAACCUCAUAAACCGUACCACCAUGAUAUAUGAGCUCAGAGUGGGGAUUAUUGGGACCAAUAGGAGUAUUGAUUUCCUCAAAAUCCAAAUAUGAAGUUGAUUCAAUAUUCCAUUAAAGAGAAUCAACCGCACUUUUAGUACCUUAUAUAAAUAUUAACGAGACAAAACUCAGGCUUGUGACUUACUAUCCACUGUAUGUAAACUUCUCAUGAACUGAUGUUUGUAAUUUAAUAAGGUAGUAUUAUUAUCUAUCAAGAUUGCCUCUAUAAUCCUUGAGUUAUAGAUCUCAUUUAUCAUGUAAUCAAUUGACAUACUCUAACUCUAAGAAGUAUAUGUAAUGCCCUAAACCCAAGAGUAAAAUCAUAAUUUAAAAUAAUAAAUAAUUUAAUAAGGGUAAAAAUGUCUUUUCUUAUUUAAAAUUCCUACGUAUAAAUUAAAUAUUUUUUAUAUUCUCUACUCAAAAAAUCCUUUUACAUGUAGAUAGAAAAUAUCAAAGAGCGUAGGGUUUGAAUAUCAAUUUUUCAGGUAAGAUUUUAAUUCUUAAAUUAAUAUUUUAUAUUUGUUAAUUAGUUUUAAACACUUUAGAUAUCUUUUUGGAAGAUCUCAAUCUAGAUUAUGGUUUGUUAAAUUAAUUUUUAGAUCAAAAGACUGAAAAUUUAUGAAUGUGGAUUAAUUUAUGAUGAAAAUAUGAAAAUUUAGAAAAUUUUAAUUGAAUAGAAAAAAAUGAAUAAAAAAUCAAUGGAAGAAAAAAAAUUUUAAAAUUUUAAAAUAAAUAAAUAAAUUGUUUGUGGAGGCUUUAGAUUGGAAAAAAAGAAAAGAAAAGAAAAUGUGUAGAUAUAUUUACCAUGUGAAAAAAAUAAUAAAAUAAAUAAAUAAAUAUAAUGGGAGGCGUGUAGGUGGUUUUGUAGAAUGUUGUGGGAUUAAAAAAAUAAAAUAAAAUGAAAUUGGAGGACACCUGUGUUGCCAAAGUGUUGAGUUCACUAUAAGAAAAAAGGGUAAUAAUGACGCUUUUUAGGCGUCAAUAAAUGUAUACGAUGACGCUUCUCGAAAGCGUCCUUUUCGCCUCUGUCAAGGAAUGGGUGCAGGCAACCAUGUCGCUUCUAGACAGCGUCAUUGUUGAUUGGUUUAUAUUAACACGUUAAAAAACGUCAUUAUUGAUCUACCUAUGUUAACACUUACACUAGCGCCAAGGAAUGGCCAAAAUAUCAUUUGUCUAUUUCGACGCUAAAAAAAGUGUCAUCUUAUGUGGAUAAUAAUAUUGAAAAUCCCCUUGUUGAAAUGAUAUAUUUUGUAUGUCCUGUUAUAUAUAAUUUUGGCUGCAUGAUUAUUUAUAAAGUAUUAAACAAUAACUUCAAUAUUAAUAACUACAUCUUCCAAAAGAAAUUGAAUAAAUUUGGGAAUAAUAUAAUGAUAAAGAACUAAUGUCUACAUAGUUAAUUAAUACGCAAAUUUGUAAAUGUAUCAAAAUAUUUACAAGCAUAUUUUCCAACUUCAACAUAUAUAAAACAAGUACACAUGUACCAAAAAGCAAGGUCUCCAAAUUCCUUAUCAAAAAUAAUAUUACAAGAAGAAGAAGAAGAAGCCAAAAGUAUUUAUAGCCAAAAGUAUUUUUGUUUGGUAGCAUAUCCACUCCUGAACUUGAAAUCUUUUACCUGUAUACAUUUAAAAAAAAAAUAAUAGAAGAAACAAAUUAUGUUUAGUUAAUAUACAUGCAAUGAAAGUUAAAUCUAAAUCUAUAAAUGGUCCAUGAAAGAAGUGCAAAUGAGAAUAACUUGGUAUUUAAUGAGAUGUUAUGCUUCAAUGAAGAUGAAAAAUUGUUUAAUUUGAUACUUGUUUAUAAAAUAUUAAAAUACUUUUUUAGUUCAUUAUUAAGUUAGAGGAAACAAGUUAGGCUUUCAAUGGUAUAAAUUCUACAAUAUGGAAUGUAAUAUAAUAUUUUCUUAUCUAUGUCUAACAUAUCAAACUCAUUUCUCAGAAAUAAAUAUAUGAAUAUACCAAUAGGUAUGGUUUAUAAUUAGUUUCAAUCAUAAAUCAUCAUAUCUAGUAAUAUAAGACAUUUAAUAUUAACCAUUUGCAAAUGCCUUAAUUUCUUCUUACAACUUUCCUAUAUUACCAAAUUUAGUUAACUAAUAACAUUCCAUAAGGAAAAAAAGAGUAUUAAACUAAAAAUUAAAAGAGCAUAACCAAGGCAAUAGAAACCUACAAAUCAUUGGUUAAAUGUCAUAAUAACAACCAUUCUAAAACUUGCCUUUAUUUUCAAUUCCAAAAUUAUAACCCAAAUAUAAUAAUUAACCCUACACAAAAAAAAGCUCUCUACCAUCCCUCCAUCCAACAACAACCUGUUGAUGCAACAACAAUAACUUCUCCAUACAACAAUAACAAUUUCUCCAUGUAACAACAACAACAACAACAAUAACAAUAACAAUAACAAUAACAUUGAUGAUCAAUGGUGAUAAUUAUAUUAGUAAUAAUUUGAUUUGUUUAGUCCAAACAUAUAACAAUAACAACUUCUCUAUGCAACAACAACAAUAAUAAUGACAACAUUGAUGAUCAUGAUAUAAUAAUUUGAUUUAUUGAGUUCACAAAUUAUAUGCUUCUUCUCCAUACAACAAUAACAAAAAUAACUUCUCCAUGUAACAACAUUGGUGAUGAUGUAAUAAUUUGAUUUGUUAUAUUGAAAUAGUUUAUGUAUAAAACUAUUAUAUUCUAUCACUAUGGAGGAAAAAAUUACUUAUCAUGAGAUGAGAACUUAUGAGAAUCGUCAAAAUGUGAUCUACAACUCUUACUGGACUGAAAUGAGGGCAUCUGCAUACAUAAGAUGGUAAAUUAAAAAAAUUAGUCCAUUCAAGACUUCAUUAAUAAUGAAAAUCAAGCAUUUUAGAUGUUAAUUUAUACCUUCAGGCAUGGGUAAGAAUCAAUUGAGUUGCCAACAUAACCCACUCAGAUCGUACUUCAUUAAGCUCAACUUCACUAUACGAUUUUUUCCCUUUAAACUAAUAAUUAAUUGUACAUACAUGAUGAUUAGUUAAGUUAACAAAAAAUUACUAAAGUAUAGAAACUAAUAAAAUUUAUUAAUGAGUAUAUACAUUUGUGGAUAGGAGGCUUGGAUCAACAAUUAUAUCUUUCAUGUAUCUCAUCACAUAAUAACCACACUCCACACUUCCUAGUUGUCCUGGGCACUAUAGGCACACAUAUGAAUUAUNNNNNNNNNNNNNNNNNNNNNNNNNNNNNNNNNNNNNNNNNNNNNNNNNNNNNNNNNNNNNNNNNNNNNNNNNNNNNNNNNNNNNNNNNNNNNNNNNNNNUAUCUUACUCUAACCAAAUUAACUUACCACUACUUUUACCCAUGUCGGCUCCCUCUUUGAUGAUCUUUGUUUCUCUGGUGGAUGAAUUCGUAGUGCCCUACAUGGAAAAGAAAAUUAACAUUUUAGAUACUAUGCACUAUAUUCAAGUAUGGAAAUGAAGACACUUACAUGUUAACAAUUUCCUUAAGAUCAUCACAUGGUUGCUUUUGCAUCGGAUCAAGGUAGUACGCAGUCAUUGUCCUCAUAUCCAAUGCCACCAAGACCCAGUGGAAACUAUAAUAGUACAUUAGAUAUUAUUUAGUAAUUAGCAUUGAUUAAGCUAUUUAACAUUAAAAAAAAACUUAAUAUUUUUCAUAACUUACUCAGGGUUAUAUGGAAUAAAAAUGUAGUCAGCACGCUUUGCAUGCAUUAAACGAUUUGCAAUCAACCUUGACCUAUUUUCCUUUGUUGUCUCACCCAUUCCAGCUUUAGAGACUAAAGCUGGAUUGAUAAAAGCAAAUCGUUCGGUGAGCCUUGCAUUACUUAGCUUUUUCUGUAGGUGCCUGUUUAAAUUCCACAUACCUUGAUAAGAAAUGACCAUUUUACUUUUAUAUAUAUAUAAAUUAACACACAUUAGCAAGUUAUAAAAUUAUUUACCAUAUAUAAUAUAUGACACAAUUAGCCGACACUUUCUUAAAUGAAAUUAUCAUAUCCAUGUCUUCUUUCAUAAGGAAGGUCUUAAAACUCUCGCCAAAUACAUCAUUUGGGACCUCCACACCUUGUGCUUUCCCCUCAUUUAGCAUGAGACCUACUAAUGCAUCAAAAUUGUUGAUAUCUUGAGGGUUUUCACCAAUUUUCAAGUCAUUUUCUGUUGUUUUUUGUCUUUUCCCUUUGUGAGAUCCCUAUAAAAGAAAGCACCAUGUUUUCAAAUGAUAUACAUAUCUUUAUAAACUAUUUCAAAUGAAAAUAACACACCUUAAUGAAUUUAGUACUCAAAUUGACUAAAUGGGUUGGCCAUAAAACUUGGUAGCCCACUACCGCUCCAAUUGUUGUAGCUUGUCCAGGAAUGGGAAUAGGAAGUGGUGUAUUUGACUUAUAGGGAGCAUCCAAAACAACUAGGUAGUUGGGCCCACAAUCCAUUACAAUUAUUCCACCAGCCACUGUAUUUUCUCUGGUCCCUACUGCUAACUCACAUUUUCUUGCCUUCAAAAGUAAAUUAAAUUGUUAAUUUCAAUAUAAAAAAGAAUCAAUAAAUGAAGUUUAAAGUGCAUUGACUAUGUUAGGGCUAUAUUUAAGACAUAAAGUUACAUAUUUUAUAAGUAAUAGUUGUAGUGGAAUAGAAUAUUACUAGUAGUAAUUAUGCUGUAAUAGAAUCUACCUAAAAUGUAAGUAUCAAUCUAACAAAAAUAAAAGCAAUUGGAAGAAAUUAUUUAUGAAAAUUAUCUAGGAAUUUGUGACAAUUACGUCAUUGAACUAGGAAAUGUAAACUAAAAAUAACACACCUUCAUGUGUGGUUCUAUUUUCACAGGUAAGGUCUCCUCUUCAACUUUACGAAUUGGUUUCUCCACUACUUCUGGUAGAAGCAACAGUUUUGAUUUCAUGUUGGAACUACUCACAUCGGAUUGUGGUGUAGCAACUCCUAUCUGAGAUAGUCUCGCUAACACAUCAGCCUCAAACUUAACUUGACGUUCUUGAGUUGCUUUUAAAAUAUCCCUCACAACACGUUCUGACAUACUAUUGAAAUAUCAUCCAGGCGUGUAGUGCUUCCCUUUAGCUCGAACCCAACCAGUAUACUCAGGAGUACCUAGUGCUUGAGAAAGUAUGUCAUUGCUCCCACUAUAGCUUAUGCCACUCUCUUGAGACUCUUUUAUCAAUUCAUCCUAAAACAAAAGGAAGUUAUGAAGUUAACUUUCAAAUAAGUAAAACCAAAUAAGGUGUUUAAAGAUGUGAUUUUUGGGUACAAAAUGUCUACUUACUAUUUUUUCCAUUACCGGUAGGACCACAUCAUCAUAGUUGCCAUCUUUUUUUUGCAUUGCCCUCUUCCAAAGUAAACUUCUAUCAAUGCUUUCUAUGGAGCCAGCUUCAAUCAUCUAAUAGAAAUGGAAAAUUAAAGAUAGUUAUUAGAUGACACAUGUGGUUUUAUUUCUAUUUUUUUGUCAGAAAAGAAACAAUUAAGAAACCCAUAUAAAAUAUUCCUUCAUUACUUAUACAAUCAUAUAAAAUUAAACCACAAUAAGAACUAACAAAAACUUACCAUCUCUUCUUCAAGUCCAGCAUACCCUUUUCUACUUAGAUGAUGAUUAUAUAUAUGCUUCUUUCUUCUCUGUUUUUGUACUUCCCUAUAUUCCUAAAAAUUAAAAUGGAUGCUUAGUAUAUAUAUGUGGAUGCAUGUAGUAUGUUUAAUGUUAAUUGUAUUUGUACCUGGAAUUUUUCAGACAACCUAGUUUUCACAAAAAUAUUCCAAUCUUCAUCAUCGAUAAAAUGAUAUUCAGCUGGUGGUUUCUUAAGAAGCUCUGGCUGAUCUUUGAAAGGAAGAAUAUGUUUCACAGUCAACGUGUUCUUAAAAGAUCGAAAACAUUUUCCCAAUGUAAGCAUACAAUUCCUUCUACUUUUCUUGUCUAAUGUAAAAGCAAUCUACAAAUUAUAAAGUCAUUAGUUUCUCAAAAUUUGAAAGAAAUAUAGAGAUUGUAGAAAACUUAUUUAUGUUAAAAAAAAAAGUAACCUCAAUAGAGUCCCACAACUUAUCCUUCAAUUGUUCAGGGACAUCUCGCCAUGUGUUAUAUCUGAUUGGUACCAUCGUACGUGCCAAUACACCUAAGUAGCUUGUUAGGUGCACAGAAGAUUCUCCUACAUAGAUACCAUCAACAUUGUACUUUAUGACCAACUUUAUCCCUCUAUUCCUAUUCCUUAUAAUCAUGGAUUUCCUUGUUGUCCCUCUAUAUUUUUUUUGUGAAGGGGUUUUCUCUUCCUUUGAAUCCAUGCCUAUAACACAUCAAUGAGAAAUGAUAAGUAUACCCAUUAAUUGCAAGUAAAAUUGAAUUUUUUAUAACAUGAACUCAUAUUAGUAACAUGAACAUACUAGGAACAUUUUACAUGCUAGAUAACAAUAUUCACAUGUUGUCAUGAAAUAUUUAAAAAUAAUAAUAAUAAAAACUUACUAGAAGAUCCUCACCAAACUUUUUUCUUAUGGAACUAGAAAUCAUAAGCUUUGAGCUGAGACAAAUUGAUAUCCUUGUAUUACCCUUUAGAUCACUCUGAGAUAUGUGUAUAAUAAUAAUCAUGAAAUAGGGAAUCAAUAAAUUUAGAGACAUGAUGAAUUUAAUCCACUUAGAAAAUAAAUAAGCUAUUUACUGAAAUGCAGAAUUUCAAUAUUAACAAGUUAAUGGGAUAGUUACAACCUUCAUAACAAAACAACAAGGUCAUAAAUUUAGUUACAUAGAAGAUUUGUUAUCAAUCCAGAAUCCCUCACAGUCUCCUCGAAUGCAAAUGACAUCAGAGUCAUCCAUUGUAUCAAAUGAUUCAACUUGUGCCAAGGUGGUAAUGAGAGGAUGGUGUUCAAUAGAAUUAUCCAUGAAGUCAUCAGAAUCCUUUGCUGAAAAUGAGAAGUCCCUUUCAGGAGUUGACAAAACAACUGACCAUCUUGGAUCAAGUUGGUUUUGUACAUAGAAUACUUGCUUGGCUUGGGAGGCUAAAAUAAAUGGAUCUGAUUUAUGAGCCAUCUUAGUGAAGUCAACUAAUGUCAGCCCAAACUCAUCAACUUUGAUGCCGCUCUUAUUAUCAACCCAAUUACAUUUGAAAACUGGAAUCCUAAACAUGGUAUAAUCAAGAUCCCAUAUCUCAGUAAUAAUACCAUAGAAACAUAGCUCACUAAAUACUGGAUUCUUAUCCUUGGCACUAGAAAUUUGCAUUGUUGUUGCUACAAUGCUAACUCCACUAUUCUGGGUAACUCGUAACUCAUCACGGUCUUUUGUGUUGUACUGACACCCAUUUAUAACAUAGCCAUGAUACUUGGCCACGUAGUGGGUAGGACCAUGUGCCAUCCAUCUUAAGGUUUCAGAUAUAGGUUCUUUGUCAGCAAUGACAACUUCUACCUGUUUGAAUGGACCAUAGUUAUUAAUAUUUUUUAUGAUAAGUGCUAAGAAUGGUGCAAUUUUUAGAAUAAAUUCAAUACCUUUUUUCGCAACCAAUGAGUGAAUGUUCGCAUGUGUUCUUCUUGUAGCCACUUUUGUCUCUUAGAUUGACGAGGAUUGUUCAAUUUCAACCAUUUCAUGUGUUCUCUAUAAGAUAUGUAUAAGAAAGUAACAAUAAGUUUCCAAAAUUAGUUUAAGUAAUCUACACAUAAAAUCAAAAUAGUUGACCCUUACUCGAUAUAAGGUUGGAUGAUAGUUGUAUUUUCCAACACAUAAUGAUGUGCUUGCAACAAAAAAUUACAAUCAACUUCGGUGAUAUGACCUCCAGGAAUAGGCGCCCCAACUUUAUGGUCAACAUUAGUGCUACUAGGAACUCCAAUUGCAUCCACAUUUGAUAAGUACUCUGUACAAAAUUCAAUAGCUUCCUCUGCAAUGUAGCAUUCAACAAUGCAACCUUCAGGGUGGUUACGGUUUCACACAUAACCCUUUAAUACUUUCAUGAACCUUUCAAAUGGGUACAUCCAUCUAAAAUAAACCGGUCCACAAAGUCUCACCUCUCUAACAAGAUGAACCGUUAAAUGAAUCAUGAUAUCAAAGAAGGAUGGCGGAAAGUACUUUUCAAGCAAGCGCAAUGUCACAACAAGUUCAUUUUGUAACUUAUCCAAUGUAGACACAUCAACCACCUUCUUACAUAAAGCAUUGAAAAAAAGGCUCAAUCUAGCAAUAGCAUGUCGUACAUGCUUUGGCAAAAGUGAUCGCAAUGCCACUGGUAACAAUUGUUGCAUCAGUGUAUGAUAAUCAUGAGACUUCAGGCCAUAAAGGUUCAAAUCUUCCAUUGACACAAGAUUUCUAAAGUUUGAGCAAUACCCUUCAGGAACCUUUAACUCAGCUAAAGUUUGACAAAAUACUUUCUUCUCCUUUCUAGACAAUGUAUAACAUGCAAGCGGAAGGUAAGUUCGAUUCGAUUCAAACCUUAGUGCCAGUUUACACCUUAAGCCCAUGUCCAUAAGGUCCAGACGAGAAUUGAGUCCAUCUUUUGUCUUCCCUGGGAUGUUAAGUAAUGUACCAAUGAUGCUUUCACAAAUAUUUUUCUCAAUGUGCAUUACAUCCAAAUUAUGACGAACAUGCAAAUAUCUCCAAUACUCAAGUUCAAAGAAUAUAGACUUUUUCUUCCAACAAUUGGUAUAAGUCACAUUGGAUUUUUCAUGUCUUCCCCUUUUUUUCCCCCAUGAAUUACAAAUGACAUUCAUUUUCAAUAGUAUUUCCUCUCCACUUAAUGGUUGUGGAGGUGAUCGAAACUCCUGCUCACCAUUGAAUGCCUUUCUAUGUUUUCUAAAAGGAUGAUUGCAUGGAAGAAAACGUCUGUGGCCUGUAAAUGAGUUCUUUCUCCCAUGCUUUAACCUAUGUGAAUAGGUUUCCGGUCCAUAUAUUGGACAAGCAAAAUAUCCUUUGACUAUGCAACCAGAUAAGUUUCCAUAUGCAGGAAAGUCAUUUAUUAUCCAUAAUAGAACAACCCUUAAUGUAAAGACCCCUCUUUGAUAUGCAUCAUAAGCUUCUACCCCUAUCUCCCACAAGGUUUUAAGGUCCUCAAUCAAUGGUGCUAAAUAGAUAUCUAUGUCAUUUCCAGGUUGUUGUGGACCCGAUAUUAACAAAGAUAACAUCAUAAAUUUUCUCUUCAUGUACAACCACGGUGGAAGGUUAUAAGUGAUCAUGACAACUAGCCAACAACUAUACCUGCUGCUCAAAGAACUAUGGGGAUUUAUGCCAUCUGCUGAAAUGACAAGUCUAAGGUUUCUAGGUUCUGCAGCAAAAUCAGGCCAUCUAUGGUCAAUUACCUUCCAUGACGGCGAGUCGGAUGGAUGACGCAUUUUUCCAUCAAAUUCUCCACCUUCUGCAUGCCAUAUGAGGUCUUUUGCAAUUUUUGAGGACCGAAACAUUCUUUUAAAUCGUGGGAUAGGUGGAAAAUACCACAUUACUUUAGCAGGAACUCCUUUACUCUUUUUGCUUCCUCUUCUAUUCACCUUCCACCUUGAAGCUCCACAUGUAGGACAUGAAGAUGCAUCUUUUAACUCAUUCCUAAAAAGUAUGCAAUCAUUGGGACAUGCAUGUAUUUUUUCAUAUUCCAUUUCCAAUGCAUUCAAUGUUUUUUUUGCUUCAUACAUAGACAAUGGCAACUCAUUGUUUACAGGCAACAUAUCACCAAGUAAGCUUAAUAGCUCGGAGAAGCUUUUAUCAGACCACCCAUAUCUUCUUUUCAGAUUGUAUAAUUUAACUAAAGUAGAUAAUUUGGUGAAGUUUUUGCAAUCGAGAUACAAAGGUUUUUCAGCAUCUUCAAGCAACCUUUCAAAUAAUUUUGGAUUAGCCUUACAAUCAUCUUAUGCAGCUUCAACCAUUUCUACUGUAUGAUCCACAUUACCAAUAUGAAUUCUAUCAAAACAUUCAACCCUUGUAGUUAGGGGUCCACUACUUAGAGCUGCCUCCCCAUGCCAAAACCAAGUAUGGUAACUUUGGUCAAUUCCAUAAAAGAAUAGGUGUUCUCUAAUCUUUUGAGGAGUAUUGAAGAUCAAAUUUCCACACUAUAGACAUGGGCAUUUGAUGGAGUUUUGAUUUGCAGAAUUUUGAACUGCAAAUGAAAUGAAAUUUUCAACCCCAUCCUCAUAGUCUUUUGAUCUUCUAUCUUUUGACAUCCAGGAACGAUUCAUUUGCCUAUAAUAGUUGAACACAAUUCCUAUAUAGCAAACAUAAGCAAACAAUGGAAAUGGAAAAGACUUAGAAAGUUACCUUUAGAAAACACUCAAAACUUUCAGUUUCUCAUUUGUGACAUCCAAAAUUUCUUUUAAACUUUCUAUGGACAAACAAUUAGGAUUCAAGUGCAAUAAAAAAUUUGAACCUCAUCCUUAAUAAAAAAAAUGAUUAACAAUAUGACAAUAGAACCUUUUGAUGCAUGUUUUUAUGCCUUUUAACAUGUCCAUCAUCCAAAAUCAGGUAGUUGUUCCUAUCCCAUGUAGGAAUACAUAAUCCCUAUGUGUUAAUUGCCAAUAUACUCAAUUUCAUUUUAAAGAAAUUUUGGCAGCAUUUCCCCAUAGUUCUCCAAGUACACAAAAUGAACAAGGUAUAAUAUGUGACCUUGUUCAAAUAUGCACCCAAAGAACAAGAGGAAAUACUACCAAAAUUUCUAAAAAGUGAAUUAAGCACAAGCAAUUAACUUCAUAGAUAUUAUGUUUUCCUACACUGUCCAAUCGGACAAUUCAAACAUCAUUGCAAAAAAAAUAUCUUUAUCACAUUCUAGACAAUUUAAAAGUUGUCAACUUGAAAGUGGCUUAGGUAAAACCUUUUUCACCUUUGACAACUUAAAUGUCUUUAGUAUGUAAUAAGAGAAACUUUUAUCUUACAAUGAUAGUUGAAUGGGAACUCUAAGGUUUCAUGCAUGCAUGUUUGAUUAAAAUUAAAACACAAUUACUUAUUGAAUAAUCUAAUAAUUAUAAAACACCUAAAGUUGUUCCAUAAUUAUUGCUAUAUUUCAUCAUUAAACAAGAUUAUUAUGAGAAAGCAUACGUAUGGCCCAUGAUUUGCGAAUCAAGUCACACCAGUCUAUGUCAUAGCCUUGGGUCAAAAUUUGGGCCUUGGUAUCAAACUAAGCUAGGGAAUAACUCGUACAAUUCAGGUACUCAAUAAGAUUUAAACAAAAUUUAAAAUAACGCUUCCAUUAUAUUCUUUUGACCACCCAAAGUAAAAAUGGUAUUAUGAUUAAAAUAUGUUGGUUUGUAUAAGGAAAAAUAGUGUACCUUCCUCACUCUGUCUUUGUCUCAAGUCUUGCAUCACACACCUCUCGUAGUCCAAUGUAGGUCACUGUCUCUUAAAAUAUGUAUAUGCAAAACAAAUAAUAAAUAAAGAUAUAAAAUAAAUCCAUUAGUAGAUAUUAACAAAUAAAUACAAAAUAAAUUAAAAUAAGAAAUAAACUAAGAAGAAAAAACAUAUAAGUAAGAAAAAAAAGAUUUUCACAUGUGCAACAAUGGUUAGAUAUUUUUAAAAAUUUAUAAAAUUAUUAAAAUCAAACUAUUUUAGUUAUUAUUUUUUUAAAAUGGUAAUUAAUACUCAUAUAAAAUAAAAUAUAUGCAUGAUGAGAAAGGUAAGAAGAUUAUUCCUUGUGCCCUUUUUCAUUUGAGAUUAUGACUUUUGGUGAUGACCUAAUGGUGGGUGAACCGUGAACCACACUAUCUGACCCGGGUCAAGUCCUUAGGGCAAGAAAGAUGACUGCAAGAUGGGUAGAACUUAAACGAAUGAGAUAGAAAAGUCUGGUCUAAAUUAAGGUGGCUUAACAAUCCGUAAUCAUCUUGGUUAGGUUGUAUCAUAUUGUGAAAGAGAAGUUACAGGCUAGGUCUUCAGCAUCCAGCAAUUCCACCCUUUGAUUUUUCCAACAUGUUGCACCAUCUAAUAAUAAUACCUAUGAUCCUAUACCUUAGUUUUGAUUCCUUAUGUAUACAAAGUAUAUAUGGUUACACUACAUUAAAGUUAUUUUUUUUCUCUAAAAAGUAAUUAGUGUAAAUUUUAAAAGUAGGCUAAUAUUCAUUUUUUUUUUCACUUCUUAUUUUUUGUUUUGAAAAUAGAAAAUAGUAACAACUCUUAUACAAAAUAUUUUACUAUUUUUUGUUUUUAAAAUAGAAAGUUAGAAAUUGCAUUUUAAAAGCAAUAUUCUAUUUCAAUCCACACAAAUGAUACAAGUUUUGAAAUAUUCCAUUACCAUAUUUUGAGUAAUAUUUUUAAAGGGUUAAUUUAAUUCAUUUCCCCUCAAGAUUUGACUAAAUAUAAUGGCACCCGAUAAUAUGAAAUUUGAAGAAGUCCAUAUACUCUUCAAGUCUAUAAUUAGAAGUUCCUAGUAAGUUGUCACCCAUACUAAUGAAAUUUCUUGAGUCAACAUUAAUCUCGAACCUUUUUGCUACCUUCAUUACCUAUUUUGCCCCUUUACCACCUACUUAGUCCUCUUUACUUUGACCAUGUGUGUUUCUCUUACUUGCCCCUCUACUUUUAUGAAAGAAGCAUAUAGAAGAAGCCCAUUCAAGUUUUUAAUUUUUCUUUGUUUGGAUCAUUCCUUGAAACCUUCUAAAAUUUCCCUUGUACUUAGCCUCAACAUUACAGGUCCAAUAAAACUCUUAUAAAUAAAAUUAAAAGUGUAAUAAAUAUUAUAAAAUUAUUUUAUUAAAAAAAUUAAUAUAUAUAUAUAUAUUGUAAUUAUUAAAUUAUAUAAAAUCUUAUUCAAUAAUAAUAUUGUGAUAUUUAAUUAUAAUAUGUUUAAUUUUAAAAUAUAUUUAAUAUUAAAAUUAUGAUAUAUUUAAUUAAUAUAUUAGUGAUAUUAAAAACUUUUUACAAUUUAAUUAAAUAAAAAAAUUAUUUACAUAUAAAAUAAUUAUAAUUAAUUUGUUGUUUAAAGGAUUAUUUUAAUAUUUUGUGUAUAUAAAAACUUUUAAUAUAUAUAUAUAUAUAUAUAUAUAUAUAUAUAUAUAUAUAUAUAUAUAAUCAUAAGGGUUUUGAUUUCAACAAGGUAUAUUUUAUUAAGUAAAGAAAGAAGGGCAGCUUCCUUGAACUUUCAAUCCCAACUUGCAGAUUUUACACCUUCGGCAUCACAGGUAUAUUGAGGAGGACAAGGAAAAGUGCCAUCAACGUAUCCUAAGAGGUCGUUGCUAAUUAAAACAGGGAGGAAUUUAUCUUUCCAGAGAAGAUAGUUGGUGGAAUCAAGUUUGAUUGGUAAUAUUCGGUGCAGCAAGUAGAGUGGAAGAAGGCAGUGAAUUCGAAAUAAAAACUGAUAAGAAUGUGACAAAGAAGAAGGAAGAACAAAAGGAUAUGAUGGUGUAGAAAAAUAAGAAGAAGAAAAGAAUAGGGUGAAGGAAUUUAUUUGAGGAGAAUAGGAGAUGACAAAGUUGAUACCUGAGUCAAGAAGGGAGGAAGAGCAGUGGUGGAGAUGACAGAUGGAGGUCCGGCAAGAGUGCUAGGAGGCAAGGACUUAAAAACCUGGGUCAACGACGAUGCCGCUAAGGACGAAACUUGGCUGGGAAUAUCAAUAUGUGCAGCAGACAACAGAAUAGAUGAUGUUUCAAUGGAUGAGGAAAUUUCAGCAGUGGAAGAUGGUGUCGCAGCCAUGGCAGAGGAGAUUAAGAGAGGAUGCAGCAGGAAAGAAAUUGCUAGAACAAUGACAGCGGCAGGUUUAGAAUCCUUUCAACACACCAAAUUUAGAGUCAGACUUGACAGCCUUUCAAAGACGCGGAGGCAUAGAAUAUUCUUGAUUAAAAUAUGUGAGAUCAUAAGCACCAAGGAAAUCAACGACCCCACCACAGCUAUUGCCACUCUCCGCCUCUUCUUCCACGACUGCAUGGUCGAAGGCUACGACACCUCAGUCCUCAUCUUCUCCAACUCCUUCAACACCGCCCAGCACGACGCCGACAUCAACCUCUCCCUCCCAGGCAAUACUGUAUCAAUACAUCCAGAUUGUACGAGUCUUGCCUCUCUAGUCAUCAGUCAUCAUUCAUGACUUUGUAGGAGGGAUGAGGUAGACCAAACAAAGCCUUCGGAUGGGCUCAAAUCUAGCCACAUCCAAGUUCCAAAUUCCUAUCCCCUAAAGUAAAAUUUAAAUUAUUAUUAUUAUUUACAUUCUGUAGAAGUUUCUUCUUUAAAUGAAUUUUAUUUUUGAGAAAACUUGCUAUGGAAAGUCUGCAUCUUGAUUUCAACCGAGACAAACCCAUAUCUUUUGGACCUGGUGCCUCUCCCAAUCCUUGACUGCCCAACAACUAAAAUUCAAACCCAAGCCCACCAAAGAAAAUUUUAAAACACGUCAUGCCUUUGCCAGUUGUUCCCCUCUCAAUACCAUUUAAAAAUCCCCCAUUCUGUAGCUUUCUCAACUGCUGCAGUCGAACCUGUCUUCUCCUUGGUGUACGAACACGACACGUCCAUACCUACAGGCGGUAGAGGCUACACCUCCUUUCCCACGCCCUUGUGCUGGUGCGUGAGCCACCCACCACAUUACCCUCAAGCUCCAUCCCGAUCACCAUGCUGGCUACUACAUCUCCAUGGCAUUACACUAGGCAAAAACAAGGCGACACUUCCCACCACAACUAAAAGGAGAAGCUGAAAUUAUACCUAUUACAACUUGCAGCGUACCAUACAACAACAAGAACAAAAAAUGCACUGUAUUUAUUUGGGAUACCAUUACCCUGAUUUUCUCCUCCCAAAAUAAUUUCCCCAUCUAUGAAACAAUAAUAUUAGAUUUUUGGAACAAUGAAAACCCUUCCAUUUGUCUUCAUUUGUACUAAUCUAUUCAAGUUUGAGGAAAACAACAUUACUUGAGAAAGAGAUUUACCUGUAACUAUGAUGCUCUGUAGUAGAUUUUGACAAUGGUAACCUCCCAUGCAUGGAAGUUAGACAUGGCCAUUCCAACGGAUUAGGGCAUUUUAGUGGUGGACUUAGUGAGAGCUAUAGGGUUUCGGGGUUUCUUCAGUUCUGAAAUUGUGGAGGGAAUGUCUGGCGGGUACUUGUAGAAAGGGAAAAACAUUUAAUUAAUAUAUAUAUAUAUAUACUAUUAUUUAAUGUCACCUAAUAUAAGUGCCAUGAAAUAUCACAACUAUGACACUGCUAUAAAGUGUCAUGGAAUAACCAGUUAUUCUUAUAAGUGCCACAACAAGCAAUGAUACUUUAAAUAAGCGCCAUGAAAUAAAAAAGCUAAUAUAAAAAAUGACCCUUUUGAAAAAACGCCAUUGUAUAUCCAAAUAUAAUGAUACUUUAUGAAAGCGCCAAUGAUUAAAGCGUCAUAAUUUUCUAUUUUUGUAGUAGUGGUUAGACAUUGGAAAAUAUUGUAUAUAUAAAUAUAUUAUUAUAAUAAUAAAAAUGAGAAGAAACAUGAGGAUUACUAUUUUAGUCUUAGGACUUUUGUGUGUAAUGAAGAUAGGAGGGUAAUGAGUUGGUUAUGCAUUGAAUUUGAAAAUUAAUAAAAAUAAUAAUAUUUAGUUUUAAGCUAACAAAGGAAAUAUUAGCAAUAAUAACAGUUUAGUGCAAUAAAUACAAAAACAAUAUAUUUUUGAGAAAUGUAGUUUAAAAAUAAUAACAAUAAAUUAAUGGAAUUUGGAGGAUAAAUUUUGGAAAGAACCCAAUUUUUAGAAGAAUUUAAAAAAUCACAUGUUAAAUUAUUAUUGAUUAAGAAGUUAAAAAUAAUAGGUGACAUAAUAUAGAAAAUUUCAAUCCCAUCCUACUUAUUUAAAAUAAUUAUCAUCCUCGUGCUAGUAAAAGAGAAAAGAAAAAUAGAGUGGGGUGGGUAUAUGAAUUUACCAUAUUAGUCUCACCUCACCCUGAUUAAAGUCUUCUUUUCUAAAUUAAAUUUUAAAAAAUUUAAUUAAAUAAAUGUAUUUUAUAAAUAAUUAAAAUAUUAUAAUUUUUAUAACUUAUUUUAUUGCAAAGUAAUUAUUUUUAUUAUUUUAUAUGUAUUAAAAAUGGGGAAAUAAAAAAUUUAAAUUAAAUUAUUUUUUGAAAUUCAUUUUAUAUAUAAUUAGGGUGAGAUGGGAUGAGACAAGGCAAAAUCUGAAACUAUCCUGCAUUUAAAAAAAAAAAAAGAAAAUCUCAAACUUGCCUCACGUUUAAAAAGAAAAAAAAUCUCAAACUUGCUCAUAACUUAUUUAUUUUAAUUCCAAACCAAUAAGGUGGGACGAGGGCCUGUAGCCAUAGAAGACUUGUAGGGAUUUUACCCGAAAAAUCUCACUCUAUUGUUAUCGUACUCCUAUCCAAGUUGAUAGUCAACUUGUAUACCUUGUUUUUUUUUUUUUUCAAUAUUCAAAUAAAUCACAAUUUAAUUUUAAUGGUCUUUAAACUAAAAGUUCAAUUAAAUGAAUUUUUUCGUGUCAUUAGCUUUCACAACCUCGUAAGUGCUAAUAAUAUUCAAUUUCAAAUAAUCAUCAAAGUCUAUACAACCAUUUCUAAAUCAAAUGUUCUCAUAGUUUAUUUUCAACCAAUCAAAGUAUAAUUAAAUUACAUAUAUCCAAAUUCCCCAAAUAAAUACACAUCUAAUUUCCCCGUUGCUUGGUAGGAGGCCUUACACCCAACAGGGUUAACAAGUAAUAAUCAAAGACUAAAAAUACAUGAAAUAUUGUAAAAUUAUAAAGUGACAUGAGAAGAAAACAAGAAAGAGAAAUCAGAAUGUAGGAAGAGAAUAGAAUUUCAUUAGAGGUAUUUCCCUUUUAUAGGGAGUCACAAAGAGAUAUACAUCAAUAUGGAUGAUCAUCCACAAGUUCCCAUAAUCCGAUAAAUUCUCAUAUUUUAUAACACUCCCCUUUGGAUGAUCAUAAGAAUAUGCCUCAUUAAAACCUUACUAGGAAAAACCCCAUGGGAAAAAACUUUAGUGAAGGAAAAAUAGUACACUAUUCUUUUGGAUUACUAUAACUACCUCGUUAAAAACCUUGCCAGUAAAACCCAUUGGGACAAAACCUGGAUGAAGGAAAAAAAAGUGCAGUAUAUCCAUAUUAUCAUUCUCCCCCUCAUGUAAACAUGAUUAUGAUUUCUUCAACAUUUCAAAUGGUAGAUCUCUCAAUCUUCAUAUUCCAAAGUCAUACCUUAACUUUUUCAAUGUGGUCAAAGGUAACACCUUUGUGAAUAGAUAUGUUAGAUUAUUUCAUGUAUUCAAAUAAAAUAAAUUUUCCUUCACUAAGGUUUUUUCCCAUGGAGUUUUUCUUAGUAAGGUUUUAAUGAAGUAUAUUUUUAAGAUCAUCUAAGGGGGAGUGUUAUAAAAUAUGAGAAUUUAUCAGAUUAUGGGAACUUGUGGAUGAUAAUUCAUAUUGAUGUACAUCUUUUUACGAAUCCCUAUAAAAGGGAGAUACCUCUAAUGAAAUUCUAUUCUCUUCCUACAUUCUGAUUUUUUUUUCUUAUUUUCUUCUCCUUUCACUUUAUAAUUUUAUAACAUGUUAUCAGCACGACUAGUCUCUACAAAAGAAAUAGAAAUAUUUUUCUCUAUUCAGAAAAAUAACAAGAUAUUCUUUAUUCUUUCUCACAAAAAGGUAUGUGAUAAACUUAUAUCAUGAUUUUCUAUUUUAUUACCUUUGAUCUCUAUUUUCAUUUAUUUUAUUUGAAUAUAUAAAUAUAUAUAAUCUCAAUAACCGGAAGUUAUGGGGUAAAUUCAUAACCAGAAGUUAUAAAAAUUAUGUGCAAUUCCUAUAACCAGAAGUUAUGAGGAAAAAUUAGAAAAUUACAUAUACAUAACCAGAAGUUAUGUAUAUGAUCUCUAAUUAUUUAUUUUUAAUUAUACGGUAUAACUGAAUGUUAUACCAAACAAUAUUAUAUAGCUAGAAGGUAUAAAAUAAAUAAAUAAAUAAAUGUUCAUAGCCUGAUUAUUUUGUCAGAAUAAGAAAAUAUUUAAAUUUGUACAUAACUUAGGCCAUGAUUAUUUUGUCAGAACAAGAAAAUAUUUAAAUUUGUACAUAACUUAGGUCAUGAACUGUUUUUUAUAUAAAUUUAUAUAUAUCUUCAGGCUAUGAACUAUUUAUUGUGUAGAUUUGUGCAUAACUUCGGGCUAUGAACUUUCAUUAUGUAGAUUUGUACAUAACUUCAAGCUAUGAACAUUUAUGUAUUUAUUUACUUUAUAGCUUCUGGCUAUAAUAUUGUUUGGUAUGACAUCCAGUUAUACCGUAUAAUUAAAAAUAAAUAAUUAGAGAUUAUAUACAUAACUUCUGAUCAUGUAUUUGUAAUUCUGUAAUUUUUCUUCAUAACUUCUGGUUAUAGGAAUUGCACAUAUUUUUCAUAACUUCUGGUUAUAAAUUUACCCCAUAAUUUAUAAUUUACCCCAUAACUUCUGGUUAUAGAGAUUAUACAUAUUUAUGUAUUCAAAUAAAAUAAAUGAAAAUAGAGAUCAAAAGGUAAUAAAAUAGAAAAUCAUGAUAUAAGUUUAUCACAUACCUUUUUGUGAGAAAGAAGAGAGAAGAUCUUUCUAUUUUUUUGAAUAGAGAAAAAUCUUUCUAUUUCUUUUGUAGAGACUAGUUGUGUUGAUAACGUGUUGUAAACUUAUAAAGUGAAAGGAGAAGAAAAUAAGAAAGAGAAAUCAAAAUGUAGGAAGAGAAUAAAAUUUCAUUAGAGGUAUAGGGAGUCACAAAGAGAUAUACAUUGAUCAUUCACAAGUUUCCAUAAUCCGAUAAAUUCUCAUAUUUUAUAACAUGAAAAUAUUAAUAAGAUAUUUUAUUUUAUCCCGAAUAUGUAUAUAUAUAUAUAUAUAUAUCUUGGUAAUUAAUAAAAAAAUACAAAUGGACGUGAAUACACCCAAUCAUACGAUUCACUAUUCUUCUUGGGGUUUCACCUAAUGAUAUGUGUAUGUAAUCAAGUAUACUCUCCAUUUAGAUUUUUCUCGGGUCUAUUGUUAUGUCUUUUAUACUUGUGAUCACGCUCUUUUCUUAAUUUAUCCUCUUAUGUGACAUUUCUUUUUUGUCUCUCAUUUUUUUUUUUCCAUUUUACACCACCUUUCCUCAUUAUAUAUAUAUAUUCACACAAUUAUGAUGCAAAUAUAAUAUAUAAUAUGAAACUAUUAUUUUUAGAACAUAUUUUUAUCUUUUAAAUUGACUCCAAAAUUUAAAAAUUCAAUACACAUUUUUUUUUUAAUUCUCAUGAAUUAAUGAUCAUUUCAUUUUCCUCUAGCACUAUUUUAUCAACAUCAAUAAAAAUAUAAUUUAAAUAACACUCAUAUACCAAAUCACCCGUGGAUAUUACAAGUAUUAACAUAUUUAUUUCAUGGCAUAAUAUUUAUAACUUUUUUCUUAAAAAUAUAUUAAAUAAAUUUUUUUGGGAUACAUCGCCCUACCAAAAACUGCGAACCUAAUCGUUAUUUUUGAAAUUGAGCUUUGUAGCCAUAUUCCCCAAAUAAAAGGUGGUUUGUUUCAACGAAUUUCUGUUUUUAUUUUCAAAGAAAACAAAAGGUAGGUUUUAAAUAUGUUUAGACAAUGUUUUACCGGUUUUUGUUUUCUAGAAAUCUAAAUUCAGAAAAUGGAAAAAAAAAAAAUGAAAACAUCAAUUUGUUAUUUUCAAAAUUUUAUUAAGAAAGGUGAAAACAAUUUUAAAAAAUAUUCAAAACAAAGAAAAUAAAAAUAAAAAAGACCUUAUGGGAUUGAUCAUAAUAUAAAAAAAUAAAUACAAAUAUUGUAUAUAUAAAAAAUAUUAAUAUAAAUAAAACAUGAAAUAAUAAGUAAUGUAUAAAUAUUUGGUUUAUUUUUUGGAUUAGAGAUUAUUUAUAAGUUGAUAUAUUUUUUGAAUAUAAACUAAUUCAUUUUAAUUGAUUAGUCAGAAGAUUAUUAGAAUAUUUUAUUACAUUAUUUUAAAACAAAAAUAAUAUAGUAAAGAAAAUAAAAAAGAAUAAUGAACAAAUACAAGGAAAGCGUGACUUUAUAGUAUAUAUGUUAUAACACAUAACAUAAAAAAUAAUCAUAAUUAUAUAAAAUUUUAAUUAUAUUUAAUUUCACAAUUUUUAAUAAAAACUUAAAAUCAAAAUUUUUUUUUGCAAAUUUUAUUUUUUAAAAGCAGAUUUCAUUUUUCUUAAACAAAAUGUAUUUUUUAAGAAAAUAAAAAAUAGAAAGUGAAAAUUGUUUUGAAAAAAUAAAAAUUAGAAAAGCGUUUUUCAAAUUAAAUACAAUCAAUUAAUUUCUUUUCUUUUCUUUUUUGUGAAUGUAGAUACAUUAUUGAGUCAUUAAAUCUUGUGUUAAAGUGUAGUUUUUUUUUUUCAUUUAUUUUAUUUUCUUGUUUAUUAUUGACUUGCUUCCGGAUAACAUCGAGAGUUGCAAAUACAUCUUAUGAUUGAGUACAAAUAUUAGGUCUUGUCAUUUUCUCAAGUAGGAAAAGAUACGGGUGUUUCGAUGAAUUGAAUUAAUAGUGUUAGGACAUUUGCUUUGUUUUUUUGGUUGAUAAUUUUGUUUCUUUUCAUUAUGAUAUAUGAUUUUUUUAAAUAGUGACAUUUGUAGAUGAUGACUUACUCUUUACUGAAGAUUUGAGACUGUCGUUUAAUUAAUCGGAUGGUUAUAUGUAAAUUUGAAAAGAUUUAAGUAAAGACAAUUUUUUUAUAAGUUAGAGUUAGAUGGAAAGUUUUAAAAUUAAGUUAAAAUAUUUUAAUUAAUUUUUAAAAAGUUGAGAUUUUAAUUUUUUUUAAAAAUCGGAUGUUAUCAUUAGGAAAAUGUCAUAACUUAUCCUACCAUUUUUGAAAGCUUUAAAAGGUUUUUUUUUUAUAAAUAAUUAUGGCUUGUUGAAGGGACCUACAUCAUCUCAGAGAUUGAGAUGAAUUCAGUAGAGUACUCGAGGUAUUGUGUCCCGAGGAUGUAGGUGGAAAGUAAGUGCAAGGUAAAACCAAUUUUUAUUUUUAUUUUUUUUUGUUAAAAACUCUUAAGACGAUGAUGAUGUUAUACAUAUGCAUAUUCAAUAGAUUCUGCAUCAUGAGCUCAAGCUGCUAGAUGCUAUGAAUAGGUCAGGACUGUGGAUGACAUGUGUUUGACACGUGGAAAUGAAGAGUGAGGAUGAGCAUCCAAUUAUUUUUAUCUUUAAUUCCCAUGUUUGAAUAAUUUAAAUUAUGAUGGGAAUGAAUCAAAAAGUGAUUCAAAUGGAAAUAAAAUCUUACUUAUAAGUAGGAUUUCAAUUCUCUCCAACUAGAGGUAUUUUGAUUUCUUAAUGUAAGUUAUUUUUAAAAAUACUUUUUAAAAAUUUAAAAACUAAACAUUUAAUUUUUUUGAAUAUGUUGUUUUUGAAAAGAAAUUUUUAGUUUUAUUUUGUAAAAAAAAAUAUUUUAAAUUAAGAUAAUAUAAUGUAAACUAAAUUUAAUUCAUGUCUUAUUAAAAAAUAAAAAUAAAAAUAAAUUAAAAAAUAAAUAGUUUUUAAUAAAUAUGAAUAUUAAUAAAAUAAUAAAAUCAGAAAUGGUAUAUAUUUUUUAUAAAUAUUAUAAAUAUAUAGAUAUUAACAUUAAUUGAUUUAUUUUGUUAAAAAUAAAGAAUAGUUAUUCNCNAAUUAAUAAUUUCUAAUACUAUCUAUUUUAAAUUAAUAUAAAAAAAUAAAAUUUAAUUUUUUAAGGUAUAAAUGAGCCAAAUUUUUUAUUAUAUGCAUAUAUUUAUAACCCAAUUGUGAAGAUGACAUUCUAAAUUAUUUUAUUUAUCUAUAAUUAAUUAAUCAAUUUUUUAAAAUUCAAAUUAUUCUUAAAAUUACAAGAUUUAUUAAAGAAUUUAUAGUAUUAAUUAUGUCUAUUAUUUUUAUAGUCAUUAUAUAUAUAUUUUUGAGUUUUAAAUAAUUUUUGAAAUUAUAAAACUUAUUAAUAAAUUCAAUACAAAUUCGAUUUGAAAUUCAUAUUUUCUACUAAAAAAAUCGAAAGAAUAAUUCUCUAUUUUAUUUUAUUUUUAAAAAUUGUUUUUAAAAAAUAACAAUCAAAUAGUGAUAUAAAUUUUUUAAAAACAAUUUUUUUUUUUAAAUCAUGCACCCAAAUAAGUUUUUAUUAUUUAGAAAAAAAAAACAAAUUCCUAAGGAUUUUUUCAAAUGAAAAUAAAAAAUUACUUCAAACAACGUAGAAUGUGAGAUUUUUUUUAUAAAUAAAAAUAAAAAUAAAGAAUUAUUUUAAAUCAGAUAUACAAAUAUUAUUAAUAAUUCUUUUUUUUUUUUUCAUUUUCAUUCCUAUUUUUAUUUAACAUUGAAAUAUAAUCAAAUUAUCAUUCCAAUCUUAUAUUCUUAUAUGCAUGCAAACAUAAAAAUUAAAAUUACCAAAUUCAUUCCUAUCAAUAGGGAAUAGUAGUAAAACAAAAUAUUCAUUUCCAUUCCCAUUCUUCGUUAUGCGUACCAAACAUGUCCUUAUCUUACAUAGAAUCUGGCCAACAUUAUAGGGCAUGUGGGGAUCGGGCAGAUGUUAAUUUGUUGGCCUGAAAUUGGAAAUCAUCAUCUUUAUGUCACUAAGAAGUAACUUAAUGAACCUAGCUCAAAUCCAUGCUAUGUUCAGUACAAGACAGUGAUGGUGCUAAAGACGAUAACCUAAUACGUGGGUCCCUUUUGCCUAUCAGGAAAAACAUAACACAUGCGUGCUUCCUGCGACUUCUUUCAUGAAAACUUUUCAGUCUAUUAUCCUUCGCAGUGCCAUUGAGAAACAAGUAUCUCCACAAAUUGGUUCCUCUGAUUUAAUUUGUCCAUUACAGAUAAUGGCUGUUCAAGUUAGCCUAUUUGCCACGUCCCUGGGAUUUCUGUCUUAAUCAUAUAAGACAAUAUAUUGAAUGGGAAAGCGAAGCUACGUGAACUUCCCAACUACGUAUGCAGCCUCUUGCACUCACACUCACUCACACGAAAGUCUAUAAAUACCGAGUUCGUAUUGCCCUUGCAAUCCAUCCAGCAGAGAAACAUCUUUGAGAGUUUCCUUUAUCAGUAGAGUCUUUCACCUCCUUUGCUUUUGUGUAGGAAAGAUGGCUUACUCCAGGACUUUCCUUCUCCUUGGCCUUCUCUUUGCUGUUGUUCUCAUCCUGUCCUCUGAGGUUUCAGGUCGGGAGCUAGCUGAAACAGCCGAAACUCGUAAGUUAAAUUUCUUUCAACUACUUUUUCAGUAGAAAUAAUGGCAAGUUAUAUUAUAUGUUCAUAUACAUAGGGAUAAUUUUGUUUUCUUAAAUUAUGGCAGAAGUGAUCAGCGUGGAAGAUGAGAAGCACGAUGGGUAUGGACACGGACACGGGCACGGCCACGGCCACGGAAAAGGACAUGGGCAUGGGAAACCUGGUCAUGGUGGCGCCGGUGAGGAUGUGGAAGACGAGACUGAGGGGGCUCAGAAUUAGAGUAAUCAAUCCUUAAUUAUGUGGGCCAC
RNAcentral lists this long non-coding RNA (31736 nucleotides) under Vitis vinifera (wine grape). RNAcentral's name for it is "long non-coding RNA (VVIN_LNC006487)". The record is from RNAcentral. Lineage: Eukaryota; Viridiplantae; Streptophyta; Magnoliopsida; Vitales; Vitaceae.